Mustela lutreola (European mink) is the source of this 1128-nucleotide long non-coding RNA. RefSeq lists it as uncharacterized. Lineage: Eukaryota; Metazoa; Chordata; Mammalia; Carnivora; Mustelidae. The transcript is spliced from 3 exons. The record is from RefSeq and is a predicted model, not a curated record.
ACUUGGUGUCUGAGCCUUUCUGAGGCCUGAUGGGUCUUCAAGGUGAACCCUUGGUAAAAAGUCGGGUUGUGGGAUUGCUGAGCUGCUGUCUUCCACCAGAUCCUUUCAUUUUUAGCAGGUGUUGUCUUUCCCACUGUUCACGACUGACUUGUCGAAAGAUAUUUUUAAAACUGGAGAGAAGAAGUGAUGCAUAACAAUCUAUAAGCUCCUGGUAACCACUAUUCUACUUUCUAUCUCUGGAUUUCGCUACUCUAGUUACUUCCUGUAAGUGCAACCGUACAAUGUUAAUACUUUUGUUCUUGGCUUAUUUUACUUAGCACUAUAUUUUUAAGGUUCAUCCACAUGGUAGUGUGUAUAAGAAUUUCCUUGUUUUAGGGCUGAAUAAUAGUCCACUGUAAAUUAAUUUCACAUUUUGUUUAUUUGUUCAUCGAUGGAAAUUUGGGUAAUUUCUACCUUUUGACUAUGGUGAAUAAUGGUUAUGAACAUGAUGUAGAAAUAUUCGUUCCUGAUUUCAGUUCUUUUGGAUCUAUUCCCAGAAGUGGAAUUGCUGGUUUAUAUGCUAAUUCUGUGCUUAAUUCAUUGAGAACUACCAUACUAUUUUCCAUAGCAGCACCAUUUUUUAUUAACAUAUAAUGUAUUUUAAAAAUGAACAUAUAUAAAUCCAUUAAUGUACAUUAUUUUCUGUAAGAUAAAUGUUCAAAAUUGAGUCAAAAUAUAAUAGCUAGACAAAUAGUAUGCUUAAAAUGUUUCAAUGAUAUUAAAGAUAUACGUAACAAAAAAAAAAAUAACAUAUAAUGUAUUAUUUGCACCAGGGGUACGGGUCUGUGAAUCAUCAGGCUUAUACAUUUCACAGCACUCACCAUAUCACAUACCCUCCCCAAUUCCCUUAACCCAACCACCCUCUCCAUACCUCCCUUUCCCCCAGCAACCCUCAGUUUCUUUCAUGAGAUUAAGAGUUUCUUAUUGUUUGUCUCCCUCCUGAUCCCAUCUUGUUUUAUUUUUCCUUCCCUCCACUGAAACCCUGCCCUGCCUCUCAAAUUCCUCAUAUUAGAGAGAUCAUAUGAUAAUUGUCUUUCUCUGAUUGACUUAUUUUGCUCAGCAUAAUUCCCUCUAGUUCCAUCCACAUCA